AAGACCUCAAAUCAGG
Molecule: ribosomal RNA, 16 nt
Filed under: Puccinia monoica
Lineage: Eukaryota; Fungi; Basidiomycota; Pucciniomycetes; Pucciniales; Pucciniaceae
Also listed under: 2 other names
Description: partial 28S ribosomal RNA
Source: RNAcentral